CCUACGGGUGGCAGCAGUGAGGAAUAUUGGUCAAUGGACGCAAGUCUGAACCAGCCAAGCCGCGUGAAGGAAGAAGGCUCAAUGAGUUGUAAACUGCUGUUGUAAGAGGGUAAAUGCAGAUACGCGUAGCUGUCUGAAAGUAUCGUACGAAUAAGGAUCGGCUAACUCCGUGCCAGCAGCCGCGGUAAUACGGAGGAUUCAAGCGUUAUACGGAGUUAUUGGGUUGAAAGGGUGCGUAGGAGGGCGGAUAAGGUAGAGGUGAAAUCCCGAGGCUCAACUCCGUAAUUGCCUCUGAUACUGUUCGGCUCGAGCGUAGUUGCGGUAGGCGGACUGUGUGGUGUAGCGGU
RNAcentral lists this ribosomal RNA (347 nucleotides) under uncultured bacterium. RNAcentral describes it as "partial 16S ribosomal RNA". It matches the Rfam family "Bacterial small subunit ribosomal RNA", at positions 338 to 682 of the family's 1533-position model. The record is from RNAcentral.